Molecule: ribosomal RNA, 498 nt
Filed under: uncultured beta proteobacterium
Lineage: Bacteria; Pseudomonadati; Pseudomonadota; Betaproteobacteria
Description: bacterial SSU rRNA
Rfam family: Bacterial small subunit ribosomal RNA
Source: RNAcentral
GAGAGGGGUUGUGCCUGAAAAGGGAACCGGAACACAGGUGCUGCAUGGCUGUCGUCAGCUCGUGUCGUGAGAUGUUGGGUUAAGUCCCGCAACGAGCGCAACCCUUGUCCCUAGUUGCUACGCAAGGGCACUCUAGGGAGACUGCCGGUGACAAACCGGAGGAAGGUGGGGAUGACGUCAAGUCCUCAUGGCCCUUAUGGGUAGGGCUUCACACGUCAUACAAUGGCCGGUACAGAGGGUUGCCAAACCGCGAGGUGGAGCCAAUCCCAGAAAGCCGGUCGUAGUCCGGAUUGCAGUCUGCAACUCGACUGCAUGAAGUCGGAAUCGCUAGUAAUCGCGGAUCAGCAUGUCGCGGUGAAUACGUUCCCGGGUCCUGUACACACCGCCCGUCACACCAUGGGAGUGGGUUCUACCAGAAGUAGGUAGGCUAACCGCAAGGAGGCCGCUUACCACGGUAGGAUUCAUGACUGGGGUGAAGUCGUAACAAGGUAACCGUAA